AGACGUUGAUAUGCAACGACUGCACCAUCAAGUGGCCCAUGCGACACCAAGCCAAAGCCUGUUACGCGAGGAACCCAGCAGAACGCAGCCCUCCUCCCGCCCAAAAAAACAAUGAAUGCAAAAUGGAUCCAUGCAGGAGAUUGCUUUUAGUGGGAUUGGCGGCUCUUGCAUGAUCGGAGGAGGAGGAGAAUCAACAAAAUAAGCGCCGACAGCUUUGAUAAAACCCAUAUCUGCAGGAAAGAAACCAGAACGGUCGUUUGUCUAUACAUUUGAGUAUUAUAACUCAUAUAAAUAUGUGUACAUUAAUGGAAACCCAUGAAACGAUACCCUUUGCAUAUUCCGCAGUUUGAAAAUAUGACAGAGAAUUUGCAUAUGGCUGGGAAUAACAUCUGCAGACUUCUUUAAUUGGUGAAGCAGCAAGGCCGUGACAAGGAAUAUUUGCGCCCGUUGCAAAGUUGUAAAACGGCGCCUCCAAGCACCCUUCCUAUUCAACAUUGGCUAGUUUCGAGCCCAGAUUGUCGCCAUCGCCCCUUGGCACGACCCUGUGGAGCAGUACUUGGUCCAAAGAGGAAAAAAACUUAAAACAUUUUGUUAACAGCCCAGCCGGGUCUGUGUCUUGGCGACAUGAAGAUACUGGCGUUCAAAUAAGUUAAACAAAUUAAAAAUGCAAAUAAAUUCAAUAUAAUCUCAUUAAUCUAUAAUAAUUGUUUCCCUUUUAGCCGUUUGAAGACCUUAAGCUCGUUUAGAAGCACGGUGGUAAUUUAUCUUUCAACUUCAGUGGCAUUGUUGCCUCCAUUUGAUUGAGA
RNAcentral lists this long non-coding RNA (806 nucleotides) under Drosophila guanche. The record is from RNAcentral. Lineage: Eukaryota; Metazoa; Arthropoda; Insecta; Diptera; Drosophilidae.